RNAcentral lists this long non-coding RNA (2295 nucleotides) under Manacus vitellinus (golden-collared manakin). Its description in RNAcentral is "lncRNA (ENSMVIG00005000030.1)". Lineage: Eukaryota; Metazoa; Chordata; Aves; Passeriformes; Pipridae. The record is from RNAcentral.
AACGAUAACAAAUAAUCUGAGAUGCUCAGGACUUCCACGUGCUCCUCAGCCACCUCUCCAGCCACGGCCCGAAGCAACUCAGUUGUCUCCCCAUCUUUGGCAGCAGCCAGUUCCUGACAGGGCUCCUGCAGCAGCAUCUUCAAGGGGCCAAAGGUGUAAAUCCUGGUAGAAGUGCUCGGCAUGGGAUGGCACAGAGAGGGGCUGUCAGGAUGGGUGGCACUGGGAUGGGGUUUGAUGCUUUUAUUACCCUGAGCCUCAAACUGGGAUAGUUUGUCUCUCUGGCUUGGCACAUGGGUUGCUACUGCUCUGGCUGGUGAGGUUUAACACAAGUAGAUUUUAAGCUGAGCCCAAAUCCUCUGCUAAAAAGUACUGAUAAUUGACAGCUAGAUGAUGCCAGAGUAGAAGUGCUGCAGGCAACAAAAGGCAUGGUAACCAGCCCUGAACUGACUUAAAGAACAGCUGGAGAAAGGAAAAUGUUAGAGGUUUAACACAUGACCAGGGAAGAGGUGAUUGACACUUUAUUCCCAAACAUCUAAAGCAGAUAAAAGCGAGGAACGGAUGUCGUCUGCCAUGAUUGCCAGAGCAGGGCUUUUGCCUCUGAGCCCUGUGGGACAACAGACCUUUCAUGUUUGUAUAAUGUGAUCCAGGAGUCGACCUUUCUUUGAGAUCCUAAUAUGAGUCACAGAGCAAAUUCUCUGAUUUGGCCUGAGAUUGCCAAGUAUCGGAAGGGGAUUUCCUAAAUUAUGUGCUUGGAUCUGGAGUCAAAUAGCCCCUUGGCAAAGGCUAAGUAAAAUGGAGUGUCUCUUGGUGUGAUAUGUUCAAAACAGUGUAAUUUCUUAACUGGCCUUCCCUUUCUCCCCUCAACACCCUCCCCCCCCCCCCCCCCCGUUCCUAUCAUGGAAAUUUUCUUGGCAAAUGACUUCCAUUUCCUUUUGAUUUAUUUAGGCACCAGCCCUGUGAAUUUGGCAGCUGGCCUGGUACAAGCAGGUCUGAUGCCAAACUCAGAGCUGUGUCAUCUGUCAGAGCAAUUUGUUCUCAGGGAGGGAAGGAGAAGUUGUUUUCCAGCAGAAGCGGGUUGGCUGUGGCCACAGGAGCACACUGAAGCCUGUAGCAGCAGGGAACAGGAUUUAUCCUGGUGUGAUCCUCACACCAGCAGGAAGUUUGCAUCGGGAAUAUGCAGGGACCAUGAGGUAAUUGUGUUGCUCUCAGAGAACCCCAAGUCAGGGGCAGGAGAUAUUAAACAGGCCUGUGGAUGUGUAGCAGAAGUCAUCCUGGCAACAUCUUGCAGAUUUUAACACAAAUCUCUCAGAUCCUGGAAGACACACAAGCACGUGGCUCUCAGUCUUAAUGACUGAGAAAAAACCUGCCUGUUUCAGAUUCUGUUGGUGUUUCACUGUUUAACCCUGUCCGUGUGAAAUCGAACAGCCUUCUGGCUGCCAGUGGGAAGCAGAGGGCACUUCUCUGUAUUCAGUCCCAAGCGAGGUGUUGUAGUUGCCAGGCAUGAGAGCACAGAGAACACGGCAGAGUUUGCUUAGCCUUGCUAAGGCACUUGAAAAGCAGCUGGGGAAAGAGAGAAAAAACAGUCUUCCAGUUUCAUUAUUUUUACAACCUCAUUUUUUAGCUAGUCAGCAUAACUCACACUGAGCCUCUGCCAAGCAAAACACAGUUAUUCUUGUUUGGGGUUUGCCUGUGAUUUCCAUGGGAGUGGUGGGCCUGGAGGGGGCUGGCUGGGGUUUGACUCCUGUGCUUUGGUCGGCUGCACUGGAAAUGUGUCCUGCUUUCACAGAGACAGUGGUGAUGGGGCACACUCUGCUCAGGGGCUUUUUUUUACAAGUUAUUUUAGGUAUCUGCAGUUAACACCCUCACCCUUACAGUGCUCACCUUUCUUUAAAAUAAUGUCUUAUUACUUUUAAAAAAAUCUGUUUUCCUCUCCAUGUUAGAUGACAAGACUCAGAAAAACUAGUGAAGAAAACUCUCUCUGUGCACAGCAAUUGUACAAAGCAUUGGGAAGCACGCAGAGAAAAACUGCUGGAAGAAAAUGGCACAGUGUCUGAGUUUUGUAAGGAGGUGAGACCACCUGUGUGAUGAGUGUUGUUGCAAUAAGGAAGAAAAAAUUCAAGCAAAAAGGAGACUUUCUCACUUUAAAAAUUACUUUUAACUUUGUUUUUAAAACUUCCUAGAAAUGUAGCUGAAAUAGCCAUAGGCUGGAAGUGACUGGCUGCAAAUGGAAAAAAUCUGCUACACAUGUGCAGCUGAAACGCAGAGCCUGAGCAAGGUACGUGGUCCACUCGAGGG